ACGCACGCUGGCGGCGUGCUUCACACAUGCCAGUCGAACGGAAAGGCCCUGCUUUUGUGGGGUGCUCGAGUGGCGAACGGGUGAGUAACACGUGAGUAACCUGCCCUUGACUUUGGGAUAACUUCAGGAAACUGGGGCUAAUACCGGAUAGGAGCUCCUGCUGCAUGGUGGGGGUUGGUAAGUUUCGGCGGUUGGGGAUGGACUCGCGGCUUAUCAGCUUGUUGGUGGGGUAGUGGCUUACCAAGGCUUUGACGGGUAGCCGGCCUGAGAGGGUGACCGGCCACAUUGGGACUGAGAUACGGCCCAGACUCCUACGGGAGGCAGCAGUGGGGAAUAUUGCACAAUGGGCGGAAGCCUGAUGCAGCAACGCCGCGUGCGGGAUGACGGCCUUCGGGUUGUAAACCGCUUUCGCCUGUGACGAAGCGUGAGUGACGGUAAUGGGUAAAGAAGCACCGGCUAACUACGUG
This 467-nucleotide ribosomal RNA is filed under the name uncultured bacterium. Its description in RNAcentral is "partial 16S ribosomal RNA". It matches the Rfam family "Bacterial small subunit ribosomal RNA", at positions 29 to 507 of the family's 1533-position model. The record is from RNAcentral.